GGUGGCUCUAGCGGCGUGGCCCCACCCGUACCCAUCUCGAACACGGAAGUGAAACGCGCCAGCGCCGACGAUACUUGAGUGGUGACGCUCCGGGAAAAUAGGUCGCCGCC
RNAcentral lists this ribosomal RNA (110 nucleotides) under marine eukaryotic metagenome. The record is from RNAcentral.